GACGAACGCUGGCGGCGUGCUUAACACAUGCAAGUCGAACGGAAAGGCCCUGCUUUUGUGGGGUGCUCGAGUGGCGAACGGGUGAGUAACACGUGAGUAACCUGCCCUUGACUUUGGGAUAACUUCAGGAAACUGGGGCUAAUACCGGAUAGGAGCUCCUGCUGCAUGGUGGGGGUUGGAAAGUUUCGGCGGUUGGGGAUGGACUCGCGGCUUAUCAGCUUGUUGGUGGGGUAGUGGCUUACCAAGGCUUUGACGGGUAGCCGGCCUGAGAGGGUGACCGGCCACAUUGGGACUGAGAUCCGGCCCAGACUCCUACGGGAGGCAGCGGUGGGGAAUAUUGCACAGUGGGCGGAAGCCUGAUGCAGCAACGCCGCGUGCGGGAUGACGGCCUUCGGGUUGUAAACCGCUUUCGCCUGUGACGAAGCGUGAGUGACGGUAAUGGGUAAAGAAGCACCGGCUAACUACGUG
This 468-nucleotide ribosomal RNA is filed under the name uncultured bacterium. RNAcentral describes it as "partial 16S ribosomal RNA". It matches the Rfam family "Bacterial small subunit ribosomal RNA", at positions 28 to 507 of the family's 1533-position model. The record is from RNAcentral.